RNAcentral lists this long non-coding RNA (2078 nucleotides) under Homo sapiens (human). RNAcentral describes it as "HSALNT0359785". Lineage: Eukaryota; Metazoa; Chordata; Mammalia; Primates; Hominidae. The record is from RNAcentral.
GCACGCGCGCUACGUCCCUCAGACUGGCUGCCCCCGAGGGUUCGCGUGAGCGGAGCACGGGGCUCGGGGUGCGGGGGGCUGGUGUGAUGGACGCAUUUGUUCUUCGGUCCCUGACGAUUGUUUCUCAUUUGCCCUCCAAGCCCCAAAUCCUGUCAGUCCACGGCCUUGAUGGAGCGGCCCCCGUGGGACGACCCUGUUGAUUGUGCUAGCGGAUGUUGUCUCCAUUCUGGAUCUGGGAAAAACUGUGGAGUGAAAGCCGGACCUGUUAGGGUUGGGACCUGAAAGCGGACUUUUUCGCUCUCAGACGGGCCCCAGGAAUUUCAUGUUUAACAGAGGUGUCUUCAAGGAGAUGAAACAAUUCAGAAUGACCUAGGCAAUGGGGUAAUUCCUAAGGAACAAGCUAUUCAUUCAUACAGCAUGGACGAAUAUUAAAUGCAUGUUGCUGAGUGAAAGAAGCCAGAAUGAUAAGGCUACAUCCUGGAAAAGUUUAUAUUCUGGAAAAGGCAAAACUUAUAGAGACAGAAACAAAUCAGCCAGUUGUUGCUGGGGUUUGGGAGAGAAGAAUGUUGACUAUGUGAAGAACAAGGGAUCUUGGGGGGCAUCUAUUCCAUAUGCUACUGUAGGGGUGGAUGCAUGAUACUAUCAUUUGUGGAAAACCAUAGAACUUUACAAAACUAACAGUGAACCUUAAUGUCUGCAAAAUUUUACAAAAUCAACUAGGAGGCUGGGGGAUCCCAGGAUGAAAUACAGGCAAUGACAAAAGAGCCUAACUCUAUUACACAUUUAUAACAUAACCGCACCGAAGAGGACUGGUAUUCUAUAACUGUGGAAAUAAUGGAAACUGGAAAACUGAAGACAAAAGGAACUGUACUUAGCACUAUACUCUAGUUGGUAAAGGCGUUUCUCAAGGGGUACCAGUUAACAAUUCUGAGACUGCUGUACAUGUAUGCAGAGACUGAACAAAUAAGUAAAUGGCUGGUACAUGCUCACUCUCAGGGAGGGAGGCCACAGAUAAACAAGAGGAAGAGGCUCUAAUGUCAUGUGUGGUUGUGGAUUAGAACCAGAAACAUAAAUAUGAACUCAUGUUUAGAUUAAUAUAGAUAUUAAUGGAUUGAUAUAGAAAUAAUGAUGAUAUGGGUAUAUAUACAGGUUAGUAUACAGUCAUAUAUUUCUUAUCCCUAUCCACUGAGAGGGCCUAGAAACAACAAUACUCCAGUAGCAACACACACAUCUCGUGCCCAUAUCUUGAUUUCUUUUGCCAUUUCCUAACAAAAGGAGCCAGGACUUCUUGGAGAAAUGGCUGAUUCUAAGACUGGGUCAGAGAGUAUACCAGAUGACGCUGGCACAUCUUCUACUGCUAGAAAGUAAGGAAAUGCUCAAAAAAUAAAACCACGGAGAUAUUUCAAAGGAACACAGAAGCCAAGUGGAACAGCUCCCAGUGGCCAAAGCUGGAAAAAUUGGGGCAAAAAAAAAAAAAAAAGUAUUAGGUUAUAAUCCAAAAUAUAAAAUAAAUAAUCACCAGCCCGUACUAAUGUGCAUAAAUUAUUGAAUAAAUAAGUAAAUGGGUGAAAAGAGAAAACUCUCUCCCAUACAAAGGAAGCCCAAAUAAUUUAUGUAGAUGAUCGCCCUGCAAUGAGGCAGAGGGCAACUCCCUACCCUGUGUUAAGUGUGGAUGGCACUUAGAGACUUGCUUCUGAAGAGCGCAAUACGGAAAGGAGGGGAGAAGUAACUUGGCAAUGAAGAAACCUGACAAACACCAUCUUCUCCAGGCAGCCAAGGUUAACACCAUCAGUGAUAAGUUACGUUGAUAGCCUGUAUUUUUGAUAUGAUGUGUUGAGAAUGUACUUAGUUUCUGUGGUCUUCUUCCCAAACACCUGACACCAGGCUCACCAGGAGAAAAUGAAUCCAAAUUAAGGGACAUUCUACAGAAUACCUGACCAACACUCCCUCCUAAAAACUGUCAAGGUCAUCAAGGAAUGUCUAGGAAGAAGGAAAGUCUGAGAAGUUGUCUCAGCCCAGAGGAGCCUUAAGAAGCCAUGACAGGGUCUCCAUCUGCCUCCCAGGCUGGAGUACAGCGG